Molecule: ribosomal RNA, 549 nt
Filed under: uncultured bacterium
Lineage: Bacteria
Description: bacterial SSU rRNA
Rfam family: Bacterial small subunit ribosomal RNA
Source: RNAcentral
AGUGAAUAGAUACCCCGGUAGUCCACGCCGUAAACGAUGGAUACUAGAUGUCGGAAGUUCUUACCCUUUCGGCGUCGUAGCUAAACGCGUUAAAGUAUCCCGCCUGGGGAGUACGAUCGCAAGAUUAAAACUCAAAGAAAUUGACGGGGGCCCGCACAAGCGGUGGAGUAUGUGGUUUAAUUCGACGCAACGCGAAAAACCUUACCUAGGCUUGACAUACCACGCUACCCUAUGAAAGUAGGGGUUCCCUUCGGGGACGUGGAUACAGGUGCUGCAUGGCUGUCGUCAGCUCGUGUCGUGAGAUGUUGGGUUAAGUCCCGCAACGAGCGCAACCCUCUGCCAUUAGUUGCCAGCAUUAAGUUGGGCACUCUAAUGGGACCGCUUGCCGAAUAAGGCAGAGGAAGGUGGGGAUGACGUCAAGUCCGCAUGGCCCUUACGCCUAGGGCUACACACGUACUACAAUGGCCGGUACAAAGCGUCGCUAGACUGCAAAGUGGAGCUAAUCGCACAAAGCCGGUCUCAGUUCGGAUAGGAGUCUGCAAUUCGACU